This 3907-nucleotide long non-coding RNA is filed under the name Canis lupus familiaris (dog). Its description in RNAcentral is "lncRNA (ENSCAFG00000053223.1)". Lineage: Eukaryota; Metazoa; Chordata; Mammalia; Carnivora; Canidae. The record is from RNAcentral.
GGGGCGUGUGGGGGAGCCCUGAGAGCGAAGGCGCGUGUUCGCGCGCGUCCGUGAGGCCGCGUGUGUGAGGCUAUGUACACUGAGAGGCCGUAGUGUUGCGGCGGGGACACAGCUGGUCCUGAGAAGGCAUCAUACUCAGACAAGCCUGCAAGAUUGCAUUCAUUCCUGUUGUUUCCGUUAGUGAUGCUCGUCCAUGGAAUGAUAAUCUAAUUUUCCUCCGUGGGUUGAUGUUCUGUCAUCAGAGGAGUGUCAGGAAGACCUAUUACAGAGCAGACAUCUAAGAUGAGUGAAGGCCCUGAAUUUCAGCUGGAACAUGUCUGCCCAGAAUGGAGCCUUCAUUUCAGCUUCCAUUGCAGUCUUUAGGAUGGAGUAGAAAGUGCUGGGAAGGCGGAUGUAUAUAAACAAAAGGUCUUUAAAUGACCACACACCUCCUCUCCAACCUCUAUCAAGAAUUGCUGUUAGAAGUUUCCAGUCUGAAGGGGACAGAGACACACAGAGAGAGAGAGGCAGAGAGAGAAGCAGGCUCCAUGCAGAGAGCCCGACGCAGGACUCGAUACAGGGUCUCCAGGAUCACACCCUGGGCUGCGGGCGGCGCUAAACCGCUGCGCCACCAGGGCUGCCCUAAAAAUCUUGAGCUUUUUGAAGAGCAAGAGAUGAGAACAAGGACAUUAGAUGUUGGAGUGGGCCUGGAAGACGUUUGGUCCCUAAAUGGGAGGUGGAAAGUCCUCAGAGGGCCAUGCUGACAAGAUGGGCCCUAGAGCUGGGUCCUUAGUCAAGGACUCUCUUGUGUUACAUAUGACAUAAAAGCAGCCCCAUCUAAACUUGGACAACGGACAUCUCUGCACCAACCUGUUCAGAGAAAAAAGCAGAGGAACCUUCCUGAUGUACUGACAUGGUGUGGGAUCUCUGGACUACUGUGAUACUUGUGUGGAGGAAGGGAAUCUUCCCAUUAAUUGAGGAAAAAUUCUCUGUGUUCCAAUGGGAUGAGGGUUCAGAUUAGGGUGAGAAGUUUCACAUUUCUCUCUGCUACAUUUGGUGUGUGGGCUUGGAAUUUCCUUUUUAAUAACUCCCAAGUACAUCAUACUCAUUUCUUGUUUUAUUUGUAGCAGAGAAAAAUAUUUACAGUAUUUUUAUCUUUGACCUUAGAGAUAGGUAUGCGUAUAGGUUUAGAUAUAUAUGUAUAAAUGUAGUUAUUUUCACCCUGCCUUUUCCCACAAAUGAUUUUAGACAAUAUAAUUGCUUUGUUUGGGGAAAUUAUCAAUUCAGUGCUAAAAAUCUCUCUUCCACAUUGACAAUAAAAUAUAGCUAAAAAAUAUUGUGCUACCAAUUGACUUGAGACUAGAGCUAAAUCUAAAUUUACUCAUUGUUUAAGAUACAUGGUUUAUUUAAAAAUUAAGAAUUUACAAAAUUCUAUGGCUUAGAGAGUUGGUAUUUUCAUGAGCCCACAUCAUGUAGCAGCUAAUGAAUUUAAGCUCUAAGGCCAGACAUACCUGAGAUUCAAUUCCAGGUUUCUUAAUGCUAUCUUUGUAAUAUUGGGCAAGUUAUUUUCUCCUUAGUUGUAUAGGGUCAUUGUGAGGAUUGACUGUAAAUGUGGGAUAAAGCACUUGAGCAGUGCCUGCACAGACUUCAUGUUUAAUGUUUAAUAAUGCUAGUUAGUUCUUCCUACUAAAGAGUCCUGCUAUCAAGAACUUAGGAUGUACCCAUGUGAGGCAAGCAAUCCAUUUGUUCAAAACAAGUCAUAAUCCUUGGUUUAUUUAAGUUAGACUCCUAAGAAUCCCCAAAAACACAUUUUAGCAUUGCUACUAUGUGUACCCAGAGAAAUAAAUCUAUAUUUCUUUGGGAUAUCUUAUAAGUCAAAUGAUUUACUACUUCAAACUGAUACUUCCCUAGACUUACAAUGAAAAAUGAGAUGUCUUUAUUCAAUGACAAUACCUGUGUUGGCUUGCUUUUUCCAAAAGUAGUAAUGGAUUACACUAAAUUAUUAGCAUAGUUUUCCCACUUUUACCUGUUACUUCUACAUAUUUAUCUGUCUCUCUGUGUACGUGUAUGCUUGCCUGUGUGCAUGUGCACAUAUGCCUACAUUCAUGCCCCUAAAGAAUGUAAAGUUAAUUAAGUUCAGUACCUUAAUAGGUGUUGAUGUUAUCACAUUGGCCCAAUAAAUGCUGUGCACCAAUUUUUAUCUAUCUAUCAUCUAUCUAUCUAUCUAUCUAUCUAUCUAUCUAUCUAUCUAUCUAUCAUCUAUCUUUGGGAGACAGUGAGUGAGCAGGAGGAGGAGCAGAGGGAGAGGAACAAGUUGACUCCACACUGAGUGCAGAGCUUGAUGUGGGGGCCUGAUCCCAGGACCCAGAGAUCAUGAGUGGGGAUGCUGAGUUGACUGAGCCACCCAGGCACACCCUGUGCACCAAUUUACAAACUAAUUCAGACUACUGAGAAUCCAUGGCAGGACUAGAUAAUGCAUUUUUAGAGCAUAUUUGUACAAUACAUGACAUAUGCUGAUAUAAAUCAUUUUUAAGAGGGAUCCUACAGGGGGUAAUACUUGCUUAUUCAGCAGUUUUUGUUGUUGUUGUUGUUCAGCAGUUUUUUAAGGAAAAAAUGUGGUCUUUAUUUGAAUAAUAUAACUUCUACCUCAUUUAAGAUAUUUAUUAGAAAGUUAUUUUUACUUGGGAAUUUAUUAUUGCUCAUAAAAAUAAUUAGAAUAACCAAACACGUACAAUGGAGUGAAAAAUACACACUGUUAAGUAACAAUAUGUGGUGAUUAUUUAGUUCAAAAAUACCAAAAAUCCAUAGGGUGGUAAGAUUGUCCUUCCUUACCAAAAAGGCGUGGAAACCUUUGUUAGAUGGAAUUGGCAAUAAGGUUUCCUCAUUGACUGCAUUGGAAGUUUUGUUUUCUUACAUAAGGCUUGAACACGGAUUGUGGAGUUGUUUCUCCUCUUGCAAACAUUGAGAAUUCUGUCUUUAAGGUUCUCUGUGCUUCCUGUUAUCUUCUAGAUCUAGGCAGAGCAGACUGUGGAAGGGUUUGCUCUGAUGGCACAUGCUGUCUGUGUUACACAUUGUUUUACUCUGGAAAUACUCUUUUAGAACUACAGUUUGUUUCCUGUCUCCUGGAGUUCAUGUCAGAGGUGGGAGGGACUCUGAAUGUCCUAGAUCAGGGUUUUACUGAAAAAGGUUUUCAUUUUUUCUUGAAAAAGUCAUGGAGGAAAAAAAAAAAGGAAGGGCAUGUGAAAUUACAAAGUAAAUUGUUUCAGUUGCAAACAUUACCUUGAAUGUUUUCUUAAGGCUCAGAGAGAAUUAUUUGUGGCAGCAGAAUGAAUGACUCUAAGAGGUCAAUAUCCAGUUGACUUUUUACAGAGUUUUACUAAUCUAGGUAAAACAUUAUCCUAUUAUUGGGAAUAUUGGAUUGCAAAGAAUGAUUCAUUGAUAAGCCCUGCUUAAAAAAGAGAGUUUAGCUAUUGAGCAGAGCCAAAUAAUAGAUUUUUGUAACUUCUAAGAGUUUAUCCCCAAACGAGAGUAUAUGCACAGACUUGACUAUAUCAACUUGUUCACUGUAGCUUUAUAGUAUGUUUUUUUAGCUGAGAGAACAAAUUUCCCAGUAUAAUUCUUUUCUAAAAAUGCUGAUCAUGUAUUCAUUCAGAAAAUCUCAGGGGCAUCUGAGUGGUUCAGCAGUUGAGUGUCUGCCUUUGGCUCAAGUCCUGAUCCUGGUCCUGGGAUUGAGUCCUGCAUCAGGCUCCCUGCAGGGAGUCUGCUUCUCCCUUUGCCUGUAUCUCUGCCUCUCUCUGUGUCUCUCAUGAAUAAAUAAAUAAAAUCUUUAAAAAAUAAUCUGUAUAUCUGUCAUAUUCCAUCACCUUUGCCAUAAGGUAUAUUUUAAUGUAAAUUAUAUUAACUCUGCAAAUAAAUAUAGUAGAAUUAA